GACGAACGCUGGCGGCGUGCUUAACACAUGCAAGUCGAACGCUGAAGCUCAGCUUGCUGGGUGGAUGAGUGGCGAACGGGUGAGUAACACGUGAGUAACCUGCCCUCUUCUUUGGGAUAACGCCCGGAAACGGGUGCUAAUACUGGAUAUUCACUGAUUCUCGCAUGGGGGUUGGUGGAAAGGUUUUUUCUGGUGGGGGAUGGGCUCGCGGCCUAUCAGCUUGUUGGUGGGGUGAUGGCCUACCAAGGCUUUGACGGGUAGCCGGCCUGAGAGGGUGACCGGUCACAUUGGGACUGGGAUACGGCCCAGACUCCUACGGGAGGCAGCAGUGGGGAAUAUAGCACAAUGGGCGAAAGCCUGAUGCAGCGACGCCGCGUGAGGGAUGGAGGCCUUCGGGUUGUAAACCUCUUUCGCUCAUGGUCAAGCCGCAGCUUUGGGUUGUGGUGAGGGUAGUGGGUAAAGAAGCGCCGGCUAACUACGUG
This 482-nucleotide ribosomal RNA is filed under the name uncultured bacterium. RNAcentral describes it as "partial 16S ribosomal RNA". It matches the Rfam family "Bacterial small subunit ribosomal RNA", at positions 28 to 507 of the family's 1533-position model. The record is from RNAcentral.